RNAcentral lists this ribosomal RNA (253 nucleotides) under uncultured bacterium. RNAcentral's name for it is "partial 16S ribosomal RNA". It matches the Rfam family "Bacterial small subunit ribosomal RNA", at positions 524 to 776 of the family's 1533-position model. The record is from RNAcentral.
GACAGAGGGUGCAAACGUUGUUCGGAUUUACUGGGCGUAAAGCGCGUGUAGGCGGCUUCGUAAGUUGGAUGUGAAAUCCCACGGCUCAACCGUGGACGUGCAUCCAAAACUACGUCGCUGGAGUCUCGGAGAGGAAGGUGGAAUGCUUGGUGUAGAGGUGAAAUUCGUAGAUAUCAAGCAGAACACCUGCGGCGAAGGCGGCCUUCUGGACGAUGACUGACGCUGAGACGCGAAAGCGUGGGGAGCAAGCAGG